CAGCGCCACGAGUGGCAAUCACGAUUAUUGGGCCUAAAGCGUCCGUAGCCGGUUCGGUAAAUCCUUUGUGAAAUCGCCAGGCUUAACCUGGCGGCGUGCAGGGGACACUGCCGAACUCGAGACCGGGAGGAGUUAGAAGUAUUUCUGGGGGAGCGGUAAAAUGCUAUAAUCCCAGAAGGACUACCUAUGGCGAAGGCAUCUAACUAGAACGGAUCUGACGGUGAGGGACGAAAGCCAGGGGAGCGAACCGGAUUAGAGACCCGAGUAGUCC
RNAcentral lists this ribosomal RNA (271 nucleotides) under uncultured archaeon. RNAcentral's name for it is "partial 16S ribosomal RNA". It matches the Rfam family "Archaeal small subunit ribosomal RNA", at positions 477 to 747 of the family's 1478-position model. The record is from RNAcentral.